This 67-nucleotide transfer RNA is filed under the name Camptonotus carolinensis (leaf-rolling cricket). RNAcentral's name for it is "tRNA-Asp". Lineage: Eukaryota; Metazoa; Arthropoda; Insecta; Orthoptera; Gryllacrididae. The record is from RNAcentral.
AAAAGAUUAGUUAAAUCAUAACAUUAGAAUGUCAUUCUAAAAUUAUUAAAUAAAUUAAUAUCUUUUA